CUUUUUCCCUUAUGUCUGUAAGCAGCCUCACUCUCUCUGUAACACUUGAACUCUCUCUCUCUCUCUAAGCUUCGAGAAGGAGACCACCAUCACCCACGCCAUUUUUGUCCAAAUAAAACCCCCAAACUUUUACUUUUGAGACUUAUGGGACACAAGGAAUUAUAUGGUGGUUUUGCAUGCACCAUUGGAGCACUGUGAGGUGUUCUUCCAUGGAGUCCGAGAGCUUUAAGCUCUACUUAGAACUCAGGUGUUGGGUGGUGUCCUUGCCGAUUCAAAACUCAACGUCAUCCCCAUCAUCGCGGUCCGAUCAUCCAUCAUCAUCGUCACCACCGCCAUCGUCAUCUUACUCAAAAGUCGACAAGCAAGGGAAAUCGGACUGCGGCGCUGCCAACAAAGGGUUUAGGUGGGGAAAAGAAAAAAAAAAACAAAGGAUCCAUGUACCCGGCCCGUUUCAAAUGGGUCGGGUUAGGUCUGGUGAUUAGAUUUGCAAUGCCCAACCCAUUUCCUUUUUAAGCGGGUCUAGUUCGGUCCCUCCAAAUUUGGACCCUAUCUGGUACUGUUCAUUUUAACAAAAACCCACAUUUUAACACUAAAAAGUCAAUCAUGUACUA
This is a long non-coding RNA of Pyrus x bretschneideri (Chinese white pear), 611 nucleotides long. RefSeq lists it as uncharacterized. The record is from RefSeq and is a predicted model, not a curated record. Lineage: Eukaryota; Viridiplantae; Streptophyta; Magnoliopsida; Rosales; Rosaceae. The transcript has 2 exons.